Molecule: ribosomal RNA, 613 nt
Filed under: Acinetobacter baumannii OIFC137
Lineage: Bacteria; Pseudomonadati; Pseudomonadota; Gammaproteobacteria; Moraxellales; Moraxellaceae
Description: bacterial SSU rRNA
Rfam family: Bacterial small subunit ribosomal RNA
Source: RNAcentral
AUGCAAGUCGAGCGGGGGAAGGUAGCUUGCUACCGGACCUAGCGGCGGACGGGUGAGUAAUGCUUAGGAAUCUGCCUAUUAGUGGGGGACAACAUCUCGAAAGGGAUGCUAAUACCGCAUACGUCCUACGGGAGAAAGCAGGGGAUCUUCGGACCUUGCGCUAAUAGAUGAGCCUAAGUCGGAUUAGCUAGUUGGUGGGGUAAAGGCCUACCAAGGCGACGAUCUGUAGCGGGUCUGAGAGGAUGAUCCGCCACACUGGGACUGAGACACGGCCCAGACUCCUACGGGAGGCAGCAGUGGGGAAUAUUGGACAAUGGGGGGAACCCUGAUCCAGCCAUGCCGCGUGUGUGAAGAAGGCCUUAUGGUUGUAAAGCACUUUAAGCGAGGAGGAGGCUACUUUAGUUAAUACCUAGAGAUAGUGGACGUUACUCGCAGAAUAAGCACCGGCUAACUCUGUGCCAGCAGCCGCGGUAAUACAGAGGGUGCGAGCGUUAAUCGGAUUUACUGGGCGUAAAGCGUGCGUAGGCGGCUUAUUAAGUCGGAUGUGAAAUCCCCGAGCUUAACUUGGGAAUUGCAUUCGAUACUGGUGAGCUAGAGUAUGGGAGAGGAUGGU